UACGAAGGGUGCAAGCGUUAAUCGGAAUUACUGGGCGUAAAGCGCGCGUAGGUGGUUCAGUAAGUUGGAAGUGAAAUCCCCGGGCUCAACCUGGGAACUGCUUUCAAAACUGCUGAGCUAGAGUACGGUAGAGGGUGGUGGAAUUUCCUGUGUAGCGUUGAAAUGCGUAGAUAUAGGAAGGAACACCAGUGGCGAAGGCGACCACCUGGACUGAUACUGACACUGAGGUGCGAAAGCGUGGGGAGCAAACAGG
RNAcentral lists this ribosomal RNA (253 nucleotides) under uncultured bacterium. RNAcentral describes it as "partial 16S ribosomal RNA". It matches the Rfam family "Bacterial small subunit ribosomal RNA", at positions 524 to 776 of the family's 1533-position model. The record is from RNAcentral.